RNAcentral lists this ribosomal RNA (508 nucleotides) under uncultured bacterium. Its description in RNAcentral is "partial 16S ribosomal RNA". It matches the Rfam family "Bacterial small subunit ribosomal RNA", at positions 30 to 523 of the family's 1533-position model. The record is from RNAcentral.
AUUGAACGCUGGCGGCAUGCCUUACACAUGCAAGUCGAACGGCAGCGGGGGAGAAGCUUGCUUUUCCUGCCGGCGAGUGGCGAACGGGUGAGUAAUACAUCGGAACGUGCCCUGUAGUGGGGGAUAACUAGUCGAAAGAUUAGCUAAUACCGCAUACGACCUGAGGGGGAAAGUGGGGGACCGCAAGGCCUCAUGCUAUAGGAGCGGCCGAUGUCUGAUUAGCUAGUGGGUGGGGUAAAGGCCUACCAAGGCGACGAUCAGUAGCUGGUCUGAGAGGACGAUCAGCCACACUGGGACUGAGACACGGCCCAGACUCCUACGGGAGGCAGCAGUGGGGAAUUUUGGACAAUGGGCGAAAGCCUGAUCCAGCAAUGCCGCGUGUGUGAAGAAGGCCUUCGGGUUGUAAAGCACUUUUGUCCGGAAAGAAAUGGCUCUGGUUAAUACCUGGGGUCGAUGACGGUACCGGAAGAAUAAGGACCGGCUAACUACGUGCCAGCCGCCGCGGUAA